This 468-nucleotide ribosomal RNA is filed under the name uncultured bacterium. RNAcentral's name for it is "partial 16S ribosomal RNA". It matches the Rfam family "Bacterial small subunit ribosomal RNA", at positions 28 to 507 of the family's 1533-position model. The record is from RNAcentral.
GACGAACGCUGGCGGCGUGCUUAACACAUGCAAGUCGAACGGAAAGGCCCUGCUUUUGUGGGGUGCUCGAGUGGCGAACGGGUGAGUAACACGUGAGUAACCUGCCCUUGACUUUGGGAUAACUUCAGGAAACUGGGGCUAAUACCGGAUAGGAGCUCCUGCUGCAUGGUGGGGGUUGGAAAGUUUCGGCGGUUGGGGAUGGACUCGCGGCUUAUCAGCUUGUUGGUGGGGUAGUGGCUUACCAAGGCUUUGACGGGUAGCCGGCCCGAGAGGGUGACCGGCCACAUGGGGACUGAGAUACGGCCCAGACGCCUACGGGAGGCAGCAGUGGGGAAUAUUGCACAAUGGGCGGAAGCCUGAUGCAGCAACGCCGCGUGCGGGAUGACGGCCUUCGGGUUGUAAACCGCUUUCGCCUGUGACGAAGCGUGAGUGACGGUAAUGGGUAAAGAAGCACCGGCUAACUACGUG